CACUCGACAAACUUGCCCUUGAGUGAGUCUCUUGUGUGACGGGAAGGUGAUAAUGUGCACGUGCAUGUUGGUGGUAUUAUUUCUCCUCAGUCUGCCAGGUGUGCGAUGUUGGCAUUCUGUGACCUACACUUCCUCAAGAGUCUGUGGUCUUAAAGGGACAUCAGUUAUCUUGCCCUGCAAAUAUGAAUAUUCCGGGGUUGGCCACUAUAUCAAAGGAGAGUGGUACAAUAAGAAUAAGGGAACAGUCAGAGCACAUAAUCCUCCUGGUUAUGACUGCAGUCUGACAAUAGACAAACUGUCAAAUGAUCACUCUGGUGUUUAUCAGUAUCAGUUUUACACAACCCUACACCAUAGCUGGAUGACAGGCAAACAUGGAGUUACUCUCUCAG
Sardina pilchardus (European sardine) is the source of this 389-nucleotide long non-coding RNA. RefSeq lists it as uncharacterized. The transcript is spliced from 3 exons. The record is from RefSeq and is a predicted model, not a curated record. NCBI's taxonomy places the organism in Eukaryota, Metazoa, Chordata, Actinopteri, Clupeiformes, Clupeidae.